Molecule: ribosomal RNA, 508 nt
Filed under: uncultured bacterium
Lineage: Bacteria
Description: bacterial SSU rRNA
Rfam family: Bacterial small subunit ribosomal RNA
Source: RNAcentral
GAUUAUGGCUCAGGAUGAACGCUAGCGGCAGGCUUAACACAUGCAAGUCGAGGGGCAGCGCGAGUAGCAAUACUUGGCGGCGACCGGCGCAAGGGUGCGUAACGCGUGAGCAACAUGCCCGUAUCAGGGGGAUAAUCCAGGGAAACUUGGUCUAAUACCCCAUAGUAAUUUUGUAAGGCAUCUUAUAAGAUUUAAAGCUUUGGUGGAUACGGAUUGGCUCGCGUGACAUUAGCUGGAUGGUAAGGUAACGGCUUACCAUGGCUAUGAUGUCUAGGGGUUCUGAGAGGAAGGUCCCCCACACUGGAACUGAGACACGGUCCAGACUCCUACGGGAGGCAGCAGUGAGGAAUAUUGGACAAUGGAUGGAAAUCUGAUCCAGCCAUGCCGCGUGAAGGAAGAAGGUCCUAUGGAUUGUAAACUUCUUUUGUAUGGGAGCAAUAAGGCCUACGAGUAGGUUGAUGAGAGUACCAUACGAAUAAGCACCGGCUAACUCCGUGCCAGCCGCGGC